This 517-nucleotide ribosomal RNA is filed under the name uncultured bacterium. Its description in RNAcentral is "bacterial SSU rRNA". It matches the Rfam family "Bacterial small subunit ribosomal RNA", at positions 791 to 1312 of the family's 1533-position model. The record is from RNAcentral.
UAGUCCAUGCCGUAAACGGUGAUUACUCGAUGUUGGCGAUACAUUGUCAGCGUCCAAGCGAAAGCGUUAAGUAAUCCACCUGGGGAGUACGAUCGCAAGAUUGAAACUCAAAGGAAUUGACGGGGGCCCGCACAAGCGGUGGAGCAUGUGGUUUAAUUCGAUGAUACGCGAGGAACCUUACCAAGGCUUAAAUGCAGAACGACAGAAAUGGAAACAUUUCUUUCUUCGGACGGACUGCAAGGUGCUGCAUGGUUGUCGUCAGCUCGUGCCGUGAGGUGUCGGGUUAAGUCCCAUAACGAGCGCAACCCCUACUUCUAGUUGCCAGCGGAUAAUGCCGGGGACUCUAGAGGAACUGCCCGUGUAAACGGUGAGGAAGGUGGGGAUGACGUCAAAUCAUCACGGCCCUUACGCCUUGGGCUACACACGUGCUACAAUGGUGGAGACAGAGAGUCGCAAACUCGCGAGAGUAAGCUAAAUCUUCAAAACGUCCACUACUCACGUUCGGUAGUCGUUAGGU